GUCUACGAUCAUAUCUAGUGGAAAGCACCGUUACCCGUCCGAUCAACUGUAGUUAAGCCACUAAGAGCCGAACCGAGUAGUGUAGUGGGAGACCAUACGCGAAACUUCGGUGUUGUAGACU
Molecule: ribosomal RNA, 121 nt
Filed under: Brettanomyces bruxellensis
Lineage: Eukaryota; Fungi; Ascomycota; Pichiomycetes; Pichiales; Pichiaceae
Source: RNAcentral